CCCUUAGAUGUUCUGGGCCGCACGCGCGCUACACUGAUGCAUUCAACGAGCACUCGCUUGGCCGAGAGGUCAGGCUAAUCUUUGAACGUGCAUCGUGCUGGGGAUAGAUGAUUGCAAUUAUUCAUCUUCAACGAGGAUUGCCUUGUAAGCGCACGUCAUCUGCGUGCAUUGAAUACGACCCUGUAUUCUGUACACACCGCCCGUCGCUCCUACCGAUUGAAGUUUUCGGUGAAUUUACUGGAGAUCCCUUUUGAAGGUGGUUCGCCACUGGAAGAAGUAUUCAAAAGUAAAUGAAUCGAAUGCUUUAGAGGAAGGAGAAGUCGUAACA
RNAcentral lists this ribosomal RNA (328 nucleotides) under uncultured eukaryote. RNAcentral describes it as "partial 18S ribosomal RNA". It matches the Rfam family "Eukaryotic small subunit ribosomal RNA", at positions 1470 to 1796 of the family's 1831-position model. The record is from RNAcentral.